UUCGCAACCCCUUGAAUCCUUCCUCCUUUAUUCUCUCUCAAAUUUCCCUCUCUUCACUCUCAAACCCUAUCCAGUCAUCACCUGAACCCCUUCAAUCUAUGGGGUUUCUCUUCGAUCUUGGGCCUUUUUGGGCUCUUAUCUCUACUGUUAUACGAUUUUUACGUUAUUUGAUAUGAAUCUCAAGAGACUCAAACCAAAUCUUGUUCAAAGUCUCUCCUAUCUCAUUUAUUUCAUCUAUUUUCACUCCGAUACUUGUGAGUAUGAGUAUCUUCCUAUUUUUUAGGUUUCAAAUCUCUAGUUCAAACUAGAUUUGAUUCGCCUCUGUCCUUUUUAUGAACCUAGCUAUUUUUGGUUGAAUCCAUCCAGGUCUCUUUAGAUCUGAAACGAUUUUGUGUUUGCUUGGUAUUUCUCCUUUAAGAUUUUAUGUUCUUACUAUUGUUAUUGACCGAUUUCGUUUACUCUAAAAGGUAGGGUUUUGAUUUCUGAGGGAUUUCUACAAAAAGGUUUUAGCACUUAUAUAUUCUCAUCUCUAAUUUUCUUAUUUACUCUUCGACUGAUUUUUACUUGAUUUAAUCUAGCUCUACGCAUAUGUCUUUGUAUUUUUAGGGUUUUGAUUAUUUGGUUGCCUAUUCUACUGUGUUUCACUCGGUUUACCUUUAAUGUUGUCAAUUAAGUGUUACUUGAUUUUAUUACCCAAAUUAGGGCUUGAAUUUAGUAAUUGCAUCUCCUUAUUAAGAUUUUUUCCUGUUUACCUUAUUUAUGUGAUUAAUUAUCCUUUCUGCUAGCCCGAUUUUGUGUUCUAACAUUUAAUUGACUUAUGGACCUACCGCUUAUCUUAUUUAGACCUCAUAUCUCCACUCCUGAUUUAUUCCAUGUUAUUUAAGCGAUAACUCUAUGAUUCUACCCAUUAAUUGAUUCUUGUUAAGCCAUAAUUGACUGAUUAAUCUAUUUUCCUUAUUGGUGUACCAUUGAUUCUCCUAUCAUAUUUGAUUUUACUCUACUAUAUUCUAUAAAACCCUUAAUUGUUCUAAUUUUCAAACACACACGCUCAGACUUAGACAUAUAUACUUAUAAGAACACACUGAAACACACUUACACAAUUACACAAUUUCAGUUUCUUUGAUUGGUUGAACUAUCUAGCCGGCUGAAAGCCAAGGAUAGGCUCUUGGAUUUCAUUCGUCUUCAUCUUUAUGUUUGCUAUCUCCUUAAUUGUUAUGCCUACAAUUCUGUUAUCAGAUUCUCUUCUAUAUACUAUGUUAUUAGAUUGCACUUCUAUUUCCUCAUUACUGCUCUCCUAACUAGUAUGCCUCAAUUUCUAUCACCAUGUUCUAUUCUAUAUGCUAUGUAGGCAAUCUAUUAUAGACAUCAACAUGUUUCCUGUUUGAUACAUGAUUCUUGGUCAUCUUGCUCUCACAUGUUACGCUUCAGUUAUUGUUAUUCCAUGUGAUUAUAUGAUUAGUGUACUUCUAACUGCGAUAUAUUUCUGUUUGCCAUGUGUUUUUCCUACUUGCAUUCUCCCUGACUAGUAUGCCUCAAAUCUUGUUAAUUUGCUUUGUUCUAUGUGGUUAUGUGAUGGGCUUACCUUUGCGUGCCUGGACCUUGAUUUCUGUUUACUUCUUUCUAGAUUAGAGAGCUUCAGCAACUGGUAUCCUGUGCUAUAUGUUUGUUUGGUUGGUUAUUUCAAACUCCAGCAUGCUUCUAUUCAAUAUAUUUCUAUAUGAGUCCACUUAGUGAUAGCUAAUAAACAAAGUUAUAUGAAACCCUAUCUAAAUAAGUUGUAUGUUUCCUAUUCAGAACAUGGCUGGAUGGUGCAAGCAUGUAAUAUGGCUAACUCUGAUUGUUAAUUCAAGUGUCCUUGCUUUUGUGAUCACUGAUAUAAGUCUAAACAAAUAUCAAUCUUCCUGAAUCAUAUGUUGAGUAUGGAUCGUGUUUGUACGACUCUACUAGCAACCCCUGUAGACUGAAACUAUUUGCUUAUAAAAUUAAAUCGUUUUCUAAAAUUGUCCCCCUCACCUUCUAUGUAUUGAUUCUCAUAUUGCUACUCUUAGUCCUUUAGGUUCCUACCACCCCCAGUGUGAGCGUUGCCUAGGGUCCCUGAG
RNAcentral lists this long non-coding RNA (2099 nucleotides) under Nicotiana benthamiana. RNAcentral describes it as "long non-coding RNA (NBEN_LNC022088)". Lineage: Eukaryota; Viridiplantae; Streptophyta; Magnoliopsida; Solanales; Solanaceae. The record is from RNAcentral.